Molecule: non-coding RNA, 741 nt
Organism: Pelobates cultripes (western spadefoot toad)
Lineage: Eukaryota; Metazoa; Chordata; Amphibia; Anura; Pelobatidae
Source: the annotation of a GenBank genome assembly
AAAAACCUUUACUCAUGCAACACAAUGCUGUAGUGGCAUAGCAACAUUGACCUGUCUAUUGGCUGUUUCCCUUCAUCUGUACUAUGUUGCUACCACAUAUUUUUUUUUUUGCAAGACCAAAGUGCUUUUGGAAUGUGUUGCUCAUUACCUUAGUGUAAAUUGUGAAUAGUGUCAUUUUGUGGCACAUUUCUCUUAUUCAUCACUUUUAGUUUAAAUAUCUCCCCAAACUGAUGCUGUAGGUAGAAAGACAAGAGAGUGAGUUAUGAUACAUUACAAUUGGUAAUGGAACCAUGAAUAAAGGAUGCUAUUGUUUCAUCAUCAUGCUGAGAUUGCAGCCCCAAUAGUGUAUUAAAGUGUUCUGAGAAUCUCAAUGUAAGGCAGAAUUAUAUUCCAUUAUUGCAUGUGUAAUAAAAAAAGUAAUUUGCAUCUUUAUUAACUUUGAUCAUAAACAAUGUAAAACUAUAUCAUAUGUAGCCAAGGCAGAACAUUUUUUUUUUUCUGAUCUAAUUGCUUGUGCGGUACUUCAGACGGGCAUCAAAAUACAACGAUAAUUUAAUUCAUGUAACAAAUAUUAGAAAUGUAGUAAAAAUAACAGAACAUACAGGUCACCGUGUGCCUUUGUGAAGCUUUUAAAAAUUUCAUGAAAUAUAUGCAUGCUUUAAAUAAAUGAUCAGUUCACACUUUUGAAUAGCCAUAAUAUUAGAUUCUUUUGCUUAAGUAAUGACUUUGAAGCAAUUUUGG